This is a long non-coding RNA of Cydia amplana, 342 nucleotides long. RefSeq lists it as uncharacterized. Lineage: Eukaryota; Metazoa; Arthropoda; Insecta; Lepidoptera; Tortricidae. The record is from RefSeq and is a predicted model, not a curated record. The transcript is spliced from 7 exons.
UUAGAAUUGGCGUUGUUUCAACCUACCUCUGUUUUAACUCACCUCGGCCUCCUAAUAUUUGAUUAAUUUCUACAAACUAAUUUUAGCACAUCGGCGAUGCAACAGCUAAAGAUGGUGGGAAGCUACAGAUCAUUGUUCAAAAACUAAGUGAAUUGAGUCAAAAAGUUAAUAGUAACAACCUAAGCAAUGAUGAAAAAAAAGUAAUUGAAUCACAUGGUCAGUCAGGGGCUUCAACAUGAGGCAACAGAGGCGCUGGCAAAAUUACAAGGCAAGAUAAUGAAUACACUGAGUAAUGAAAACGCACCUGCUGCAGCUAAAUUGCUAUUUCAAGUCAUGGCGAAG